UAUGGCUGGCGCAGGCGUGCGUCCUGAUAACCUUGAACUGUUUCUUCGCGCCGGUGUGAAAGAGGUGCAUAGCUCGGCAGGACGCUGGACAGCGUCGCCGAUGCGCUAUCGCAACAGCGGAUUAUCGAUGUCAUCCGAUGCGAGCGCCGAUGAAUAUGCCCGCUACGGCGUCGACAAAGAGGCCGUAGCAGAGAUGAAAGCGCUGAUUGUUAACUACCGCCAGUAACCGUUUUUACCGCCGCAUCAUGUCGCCCAAUGUGAUGCUUGCUUGUACCAGGCCCCUGCCAUUAACAGGGGUCUUUUUUU
Non-coding RNA from Enterobacter cloacae S611, 306 nucleotides. NCBI's taxonomy places the organism in Bacteria, Pseudomonadati, Pseudomonadota, Gammaproteobacteria, Enterobacterales, Enterobacteriaceae. The record is from Rfam.